Molecule: long non-coding RNA, 879 nt
Filed under: Pongo abelii (Sumatran orangutan)
Lineage: Eukaryota; Metazoa; Chordata; Mammalia; Primates; Hominidae
Description: lincRNA
Source: RNAcentral
ACCUUGAAAAAGUAGCUGUAAAACCUCCAUUUUACAGACCAAUUGGCUGAGGUUUAAAUGGAGGACACUCCCAGGGCCCCAGAGGGGUGAAUUCCAGACUCCUUUGCCAGGACCUUGUACUAAGCCCCUUCCCUACGCUUUUCCCUGCCUAGGCCUCGUGGGCUGUGCGGCUCUCCUGGAGACAGAUGACAGCUCUCCCUUGGAUGGCUUUGCUAGUUUCGCACCAGCCAGCGCCCCAUUUUUCCUGCAGCACCCUGAUCCGCACUCCCUGAGGGGCUCCCACUGUCCGCGGUGUGAGGAUGUCCCUGGAUAGUCCACUGUGUGCAGAGGCAUGGGAGUUGUCAUGUCGAUAACAUGCUAGACCUCAGUGUCCUUGAGGGAUGCCGCCUUGGGUCUGGAGACUGUUAGAGGAAACCCCAAGAGGUGCAAGCACUGAGCCUCUCAGGACAAUGACCUGGGAUUCCACCUCCCCUGGAGGGGCCUCCUCAUGAUUGUUUGGGGGUUGAUCACAGACCAAGAGUGAUGAGUGAUGUCACCCUGUGAUGCAUGGCUGGACCUUCUUGCCCCUAUUGUCUCAGCACAACAUUAAUCGACUUUUCCCUCAGCGUGGGUGGGCAGAGGAAAAGCCCUGUGGCUCUGGGGACUUGGGAUCCAGAGUUGAAGACCCUUCAGCUGGCUCUGCCCUGCCAGUGCCACAGAGUGCCAUGGCCCAGGAAGACUGGUUUUCUUCCAUCUAGGCCAGGCCAUCCAGUGGCCAUCCUUCGUGUCCUCCCACCUCCUUCUGGUGUGACUUCUGAAAACCAAGAAUUUGUUCCUGUUGACUUUUUCUGUGCUAUGGACCAUUGUCCUCUGACCCACUCAAUAAAUCUUGAAACAUGC